RNAcentral lists this ribosomal RNA (450 nucleotides) under uncultured bacterium. Its description in RNAcentral is "partial 16S ribosomal RNA". It matches the Rfam family "Bacterial small subunit ribosomal RNA", at positions 354 to 796 of the family's 1533-position model. The record is from RNAcentral.
GUGGGGAAUAUUCCGCAAUGGACGAAAGUCUGACGGAGCAACGCCGCGUGAGUGAUGAAGGUUUUCGGACUGUAAAGCUCUGUUGUUUAGGACGAAAGUGCCUGUUGCAAAUAGUUACAGGUAUUGACGGUACUGAACGAGGAAGCCACGGCUAACUACGUGCCAGCAGCCGCGGUAAUACGUAGGUGGCAAGCGUUGUCCGGAAUUAUUGGGCGGAAAGAGCAUGUAGGCGGGAAUCUAAGUCUGUUGUGAAAAUGCGGGGCUCAACCCCGUAUUGCGAUGGAAACUGGGUUUCUUGAGUGCAGGAGAGGAAAGGGGAAUUCCCAGUGUAGCGGUGAAAUGCGUAGAUAUUGGGAGGAACACCAGUGGCGAAGGCGCCUUUCUGGACUGUGUCUGACGCUGAGAUGCGAAAGCCAGGGUAGCGAACGGGAUUAGAAACCCGUGUAGUCC